This 405-nucleotide ribosomal RNA is filed under the name uncultured bacterium. RNAcentral's name for it is "bacterial SSU rRNA". It matches the Rfam family "Bacterial small subunit ribosomal RNA", at positions 354 to 776 of the family's 1533-position model. The record is from RNAcentral.
GCAAGGAAUCUUGCGCAAUGGGCGAAAGCCUGACGCAGCAACGCCGCGUGGGGGAUGAAGGCCUUCGGGUCGUAAACCCCUUUUGCAGGGGAAGCAACUGACGGUACCCUGCGAAUAAGCCACGGCUAACUACGUGCCAGCAGCCGCGGUAAUACGUAGGUGGCGAGCGUUGUCCGGAUUUACUGGGCGUAAAGCGCGCGCAGGCGGCCUGCCAAGUCUGGGGUGAAAGCUCCCGGCUCAACCGGGAGAGGUCUCCAGAUACUGGCAGGCUUGAGGGGAGCAGAGGAGAGUGGAAUUUCCGGUGUAGCGGUGAUAUGCGUAGAUAUCGGGAGGAACACCAGUGGCGAAGGCGGCUCUCUGGGCUCUCCCUGACGCUGAGGCGCGAAAGCGUGGGUAGCGAACCGG